This 1068-nucleotide unclassified non-coding RNA is filed under the name Zea mays. RNAcentral describes it as "misc RNA Zm00001eb190220". The record is from RNAcentral. Lineage: Eukaryota; Viridiplantae; Streptophyta; Magnoliopsida; Poales; Poaceae.
AUUUCAUCUCCGAACCGCUCGACUCAGGUCAAGUGGCUCCACCGCUGCAGAUCGCCGUGAGCAGCACCGGCAGCCUCGCCAAGGACGACGAGGUCCCAUGCGCCGGCCUCCGCAGCUUCCACCUCCCCGUUUCAGCCGCGGCAGCGUCCCGCUCCCCCGCGCGGCCGUCGUCGCCGCACAGCAGCCCGGCGCCGGAGAGCUGCCUCUCCAUGCCCAGGAAGUGGCCGAGCGACGUGGGCACGCGGACGUCGUCCCUGCACAGCCUCCACCAGCCGGCCGCGGCGCCGCGCCAGUGCCGGCGCCUCCACCUGCGGCGCCACCUCCGCCCCUCCCCUUCCUCCUCCUCAUGCACCGGAGCACACGGCGUCCCCGACCCGGUCCCCUCCUCCACUGCGUCCUGCCCUGAGUAGUGGUGGUGAUCCUCCCGCUCCUCGUCGGCGAGGGACACGCCCAUCAGCGUGCCCAGCGUCGUGCUCCGGUCCCGGAAGAACGACCCCGUGGUGGACUGGCAACAGAAAAACAAAAUCAGGAUUGCAAAGUUUCUGCUGCCCAUGCGCGCAUAAGCACAUUGUUUGUGAAAGAGAUGUUACCUCAGUGGCGAUAUCGGAGUCGGACGAGGACGGCGAUGUCUCGGCGGAGGGCGAGGAUGGGAUCAUGCCGGCGUCACCGUCCAUCGUCUUCUUCUCUGCCGGCGAGGGUAGAGUCACUUGUUACUGUGGGAGCGGCAGUGGGAGAAAGGGAUUGUGUUCCUCUCGAUCGAGGGAUUCCGCUAGAGAAUCUCUCAGACUCCACUACUCCAGUCAGGACAGGGACAGGACAAGCGAGCAGACUGCGACGCGGCCGCCGAGCCCGGGUGGAAUAGGCAGAACCGUAUGUACAAGCCAAGAGCGGUCAAGGCCUGUGUGUUUGCACUGUGCCGCUGUGCGCUUCUGCCCGGUAUGUCGUUGAACGUUGAAGAUGCUUGUGACCAGUGUUGUGCCGUCAAAUUUUUAAAAAUUAAUUGGUUUUAUAGAAUAUAUUAACAAUAUAUGUAUCUUUAAAUAAGUUUAUAACUAAAAUAUAUUAAAA